UUAAGCGACUAAGCGUACACGGUGGAUGCCCUGGCAGUCAGAGGCGAUGAAGGACGUGCUAAUCUGCGAUAAGCGCCGGUAAGGUGAUAUGAACCGUUAUAACCGGCGAUUUCCGAAUGGGGAAACCCAGUGUGAUUCGUCACACUAUCAUUAACUGAAUCCAUAGGUUAAUGAGGCGAACCGGGGGAACUGAAACAUCUAAGUACCCCGAGGAAAAGAAAUCAACCGAGAUUCCCCCAGUAGCGGCGAGCGAACGGGGAGGAGCCCAGAGCCUGAAUCAGCAUGUGUGUUAGUGGAAGCGUCUGGAAAGGCGCGCGAUACAGGGUGACAGCCCCGUACACAAAAGCGCAUGUGCUGUGAGCUCGAUGAGUAGGGCGGGACACGUGGUAUCCUGUCUGAAUAUGGGGGGACCAUCCUCCAAGGCUAAAUACUCCUGACUGACCGAUAGUGAACCAGUACCGUGAGGGAAAGGCGAAAAGAACCCCGGCGAGGGGAGUGAAAAAGAACCUGAAACCGUGUACGUACAAGCAGUGGGAGCCCCACCACCAAAGCAUUCUCUGGUGUUGAAGGCCCUGCAAAGCAGCAUCGCGGUGGCGGAGCGUCGUUUGCGACGCCCAACACACAAAACAAGCGGUGAGUGCUUUGGGGUGGGGUGACUGCGUACCUUUUGUAUAAUGGGUCAGCGACUUAUAUUCUGUAGCAAGGUUAACCGAAUAGGGGAGCCGUAGGGAAACCGAGUCUUAACCGGGCGUUAAGUUGCAGGGUAUAGACCCGAAACCCGGUGAUCUAGCCAUGGGCAGGUUGAAGGUUGGGUAACACUAACUGGAGGACCGAACCGACUAAUGUUGAAAAAUUAGCGGAUGACCUGUGGCUGGGGGUGAAAGGCCAAUCAAACCGGGAGAUAGCUGGUUCUCCCCGAAAGCUAUUUAGGUAGCGCCUCGUGAAUUCAUCUCCGGGGGUAGAGCACUGUUUCGGCUAGGGGGCCAUCCCGGCUUACCAACCCGAUGCAAACUGCGAAUACCGGAGAAUGUUAUCACGGGAGACACACGGCGGGUGCUAACGUCCGUCGUGAAGAGGGAAACAACCCAGACCGCCAGCUAAGGUCCCAAAGUCAUGGUUAAGUGGGAAACGAUGUGGGAAGGCCCAGACAGCCAGGAUGUUGGCUUAGAAGCAGCCAUCAUUUAAAGAAAGCGUAAUAGCUCACUGGUCGAGUCGGCCUGCGCGGAAGAUGUAACGGGGCUAAACCAUGCACCGAAGCUGCGGCAGCGACGCUGAUGCGUUGUUGGGUAGGGGAGCGUUCUGUAAGCCUGUGAAGGUGGCCUGUGAGGGUUGCUGGAGGUAUCAGAAGUGCGAAUGCUGACAUAAGUAACGAUAAAGCGGGUGAAAAGCCCGCUCGCCGGAAGACCAAGGGUUCCUGUCCAACGUUAAUCGGGGCAGGGUGAGUCGACCCCUAAGGCGAGGCCGAAAGGCGUAGUCGAUGGGAAACGGGUUAAUAUUCCCGUACUUGGUGUUACUGCGAAGGGGGGACGGAGAAGGCUAUGUUGGCCGGGCGACGGUUGUCCCGGUUUAAGCGUGUAGGUGUGUGUUCCAGGUAAAUCCGGUUCACUUUAACACUGAGGCGUGAUGACGAGGCACUACGGUGCUGAAGCAACAAAUGCCCUGCUUCCAGGAAAAGCCUCUAAGCAUCAGGUAACAUCAAAUCGUACCCCAAACCGACACAGGUGGUCAGGUAGAGAAUACCAAGGCGCUUGAGAGAACUCGGGUGAAGGAACUAGGCAAAAUGGUGCCGUAACUUCGGGAGAAGGCACGCUGACACGUAGGUGAAGUGAUUUACUCAUGGAGCUGAAGUCAGUCGAAGAUACCAGCUGGCUGCAACUGUUUAUUAAAAACACAGCACUGUGCAAACACGAAAGUGGACGUAUACGGUGUGACGCCUGCCCGGUGCCGGAAGGUUAAUUGAUGGGGUCAGCGCAAGCGAAGCUCCUGAUCGAAGCCCCGGUAAACGGCGGCCGUAACUAUAACGGUCCUAAGGUAGCGAAAUUCCUUGUCGGGUAAGUUCCGACCUGCACGAAUGGCGUAAUGAUGGCCAGGCUGUCUCCACCCGAGACUCAGUGAAAUUGAACUCGCUGUGAAGAUGCAGUGUACCCGCGGCAAGACGGAAAGACCCCGUGAACCUUUACUAUAGCUUGACACUGAACAUUGAGCCUUGAUGUGUAGGAUAGGUGGGAGGCUUUGAAGCGUGGACGCCAGUCUGCAUGGAGCCGGCCUUGAAAUACCACCCUUUAAUGUUUGAUGUUCUAACGUGGACCCGUGAUCCGGGUUGCGGACAGUGUCUGGUGGGUAGUUUGACUGGGGCGGUCUCCUCCUAAAGAGUAACGGAGGAGCACGAAGGUUGGCUAAUCCUGGUCGGACAUCAGGAGGUUAGUGCAAUGGCAUAAGCCAGCUUGACUGCGAGCGUGACGGCGCGAGCAGGUGCGAAAGCAGGUCAUAGUGAUCCGGUGGUUCUGAAUGGAAGGGCCAUCGCUCAACGGAUAAAAGGUACUCCGGGGAUAACAGGCUGAUACCGCCCAAGAGUUCAUAUCGACGGCGGUGUUUGGCACCUCGAUGUCGGCUCAUCACAUCCUGGGGCUGAAGUAGGUCCCAAGGGUAUGGCUGUUCGCCAUUUAAAGUGGUACGCGAGCUGGGUUUAGAACGUCGUGAGACAGUUCGGUCCCUAUCUGCCGUGGGCGCUGGAGAACUGAGGGGGGCUGCUCCUAGUACGAGAGGACCGGAGUGGACGCAUCACUGGUGUUCGGGUUGUCAUGCCAAUGGCACUGCCCGGUAGCUAAAUGCGGAAGAGAUAAGUGCUGAAAGCAUCUAAGCACGAAACUUGCCCCGAGAUGAGUUCUCCCUGAGACUUAGAGUCUCCUGAAGGAACGUUGAAGACGACGACGUUGAUAGGCCGGGUGUGUAAGCGCAGCGAUGCGUUGAGCUAACCGGUACUAAUGAACCGUGAGGCUUAACCUU
This 3006-nucleotide ribosomal RNA is filed under the name Salmonella enterica subsp. enterica serovar Choleraesuis. RNAcentral describes it as "bacterial LSU rRNA". It matches the Rfam family "Bacterial large subunit ribosomal RNA". Lineage: Bacteria; Pseudomonadati; Pseudomonadota; Gammaproteobacteria; Enterobacterales; Enterobacteriaceae. The record is from RNAcentral.